Long non-coding RNA from Etheostoma spectabile (orangethroat darter), 128 nucleotides. RefSeq lists it as uncharacterized. The transcript is spliced from 4 exons. Lineage: Eukaryota; Metazoa; Chordata; Actinopteri; Perciformes; Percidae. The record is from RefSeq and is a predicted model, not a curated record.
CUCUCUUAGUAACACUGGAGCGCGUAGGAACACAAGUGGCAUUACGCAUUCCUGAUUUUUGACGCGCAUGCGUACUUGCGUACCAGUUAUGUGCACCCCUGCAUAUAAGCACACAUUCUACAAAGGUA